Molecule: ribosomal RNA, 250 nt
Filed under: uncultured prokaryote
Description: partial 16S ribosomal RNA
Rfam family: Bacterial small subunit ribosomal RNA
Source: RNAcentral
UACGGAGGAUGCAAGCGUUAUCCGGAUUUAUUGGGUUUAAAGGGUGCGCAGGCGGCUUGCUAAGCGUUAGGUGAAAUGUCCGAGCUCAACCUGGGAACUGCCUCGCGAACUGGCUGGCUUGAAUGCCCCUGCCGUGGGAGGAAUGUGUGGUGUAGCGGUGAAAUGCAUAGAGAUCACACAGAACACCGAUUGCGAAGGCAUCUCACGAAGGGGUGAUUGACGCUAAGGCACGAAAGCGUGGGGAUCAAAC